Molecule: non-coding RNA, 73 nt
Organism: Deltaproteobacteria bacterium RBG_16_54_11
Lineage: Bacteria; Deltaproteobacteria
Source: Rfam
GGGGCUGUAGCUCAGCUGGGAGAGCGCUUGAAUGGCAUUCAAGAGGUCAGGGGUUCGAUCCCCCUCAGCUCCA